AGCUCAUCCUCCACAGGGGUUGUCUUCUUCACCGGGAGGGAGAGAGCACGAGCGAGGUCAGCACGGCUGACGUUGAUGCGCAAUUCACAAACCGUGCUGCUGCGGGAGGGCGGGGUAUAGUGGGCGAUGAGGUCUGAGAGGAGGUCGGGGCGGAGAGGGUCAGCGGCGAGGUUGAGGUGGGCGAAAUCCCAGAGGCCAAGGAUGCGGAAGAGGCGCUCGUGGCGACCGAGGUCGGGGGCACGGCCG
This 246-nucleotide unclassified non-coding RNA is filed under the name Hevea brasiliensis (rubber tree). Lineage: Eukaryota; Viridiplantae; Streptophyta; Magnoliopsida; Malpighiales; Euphorbiaceae. The record is from RNAcentral.